Molecule: long non-coding RNA, 3241 nt
Filed under: Homo sapiens (human)
Lineage: Eukaryota; Metazoa; Chordata; Mammalia; Primates; Hominidae
Description: HSALNT0033582
Source: RNAcentral
CCGGCGGCAGCCUCGGCGGUCUGGGCGGGGCGGGAAGCCCGCUUUCAACCCCGCGUACCCUCUGACCCCGGAAGUGCUUGCUGCGCAGGACCCCUUGAAAAAAAAUGAGGACCCGUCUUUUUUAGGUCACAAGAUUGCGCCAACCCUUACAUGGUCCUUAAAAAAAAAACCUUCUGACACUGCAGUAGUGAAAAUGAAGCGCACGAUGGGCGGAAGCUGUGAGUCCGGCAAAGUUUUAAAAUGAUGACGUAUUUUAUUAACUCUAACGGCACUGGCGGGUGACUGAAAAUACUAGUGCUGUGUAUGCGGGAUAGACAUUAUUUUCCUGCCCUACAUGAGGGGCUCGUGCGCGGAACGACAUGGGCAGCCCCGGCGGAAACUGCAGGCACAAGCCGGGACGCCGCGGGUUUAAAACAUGCGCGUGAGGUGACCAGAGCGCGUGCGCGAGGGUGUGGGGGGAUGGGAGGGGCAGCAGCCCUCUUCCGGGGGGGAGGGGCGGCGAGGCGAGGCCUGCGGAGCGGAGGAAGACAAACAUAAAGAUGAAGUGCUUAAUUCAAGGUCACACAAUGUCGGGGAUGGACCUCCAGAUUUCCUUACUGACCUGCAUUAUCUUGUGGAUACCUGAGUGAAUUCCACACCACCCAUUUUAUAGAUGAAACCACUGAGACAUGGAGCAAUUGACUGAGUAGUCACUGCCCCACCCCUGCCUGGAGCCUCACACAUGACUCGCCUCCUCUCAGUGACCACAGGUGAGACGUGGUCUUGUAACACAGUGGUUAAGAAUGUGACUUUGGAGCCAGCCUGCUAGGGGCUGAAUUCUGACUCAGCCAUUUACUAACUGUGUGACCUUAGGGAGGAGGACCUGGUUGAUAGAAGAAUUUAUCUCGUAGUCUUAACAUCCACUGUAAUUCCAAACUUUGAGGACGAUAGAGAUCAGUGGGCUUUGACUGCCCAGCAUGCAGUCUCCAUUCUUAGGUGGGUUCCCAAGCCUGUAAAAUGUAAGCCUUAUGCUGCUGAGGGCCAUCUUGCCACCCUGAGGGAAACGCUGCCUGAGAAUGAAACAAGCAUAAGUAAAAGCUGAGCUGUGAGAUGGAGCAAGAUGAAGGCCACAUGACAUCUUUGGAGCACCUGGAUCUAACUGUGCCUUAAGCUAGUCUAACCCUGAACAUUUCAUCAUUUCAUUGACAUGAGCCCAGGUUUUCUUUUUUUUUGGAUGGAGUCUUGCUCUGUCGCCCAGGCUGGAGUGCAGUAGCUCAAUCUCGGCUCACUGCAAGCUCCACCUCCCGGGUUCACGCCAUUCUCCUGCCUUAGCCUCCCAAGUAGCUGGGACAACAGGCGCCCACCACCACUCCCAGCUAAUUUUUUGUAUUUUUAGUAGAGACGGGGUUUUACCAUGUUAGCCGGGAUGGUCUUGAUCUCCUGACCUCAUGAUCCGCCCGCCUCGGCCUCCCAAAGUGCUGGGAUUACAGGUGUGAGCCACUGCACCCAGCCCUCAGGUUUUCCCUUUUUUUACCCCUCCUUUUGAAAAUUUGAUGUGGAAUUUUGCCACCUGCAGCCAGAAGAGUUUUAACUAAUCAGUGCCAUAAAUUUUAUAUAGUUCUCCUUGCAAAAUGUGGAUCAGCCUUUCUCAGCAAAUCCUUUGUCAUAAAGUGCUGAAUUGUAAGUUUGUCAUGAGAAUCACAUGAGAUCAUGCAUGUGAAGAACCUGGCAUUAUCCUCCUCAUAGAAAAAAACCAGUAAAUAUUAACUACAGGAAGCAAGGAAGGAGUGGGGUGAGGGGAAGAAGAAGGGGUACUGAUUUAAAAGAACCCUGGAGUCCUAAGGAUAAUCUAGGAACCCUCAGACCCAAUCCGAUACCCCUAUUCUAAAUGCUCCUAGUGCCCUGUACCUUCCCCUCAUAAGCCUUCAUUAUCAUUGUAAUGAUAUGUUUAUGUAAUAUUUUGAUUAAUGUCUCUCCUUCACUGACCUAGCAGUUCUAGCAGGGCAGUGAUUUUGCUGUGUUGCAUCCCCAGCACCUAGUCUGGUAUGUGGCAUUCAGCAUAUGUUUAUUGAAUGAAUGGCCAUGUGGUUAUUCAGAUCCUCCUUGAUUAUUGGGGUUAGGAUUGUGGCAGAAGUGGCAAAAUCAGGGAGAGUAGUCCCUGUCCCCUCUGUAUCUUAUACACUGCCCACACUCCCAACACACAUACACAUACAGAGAAUUUUGUCUCAAUUAGAUAAUUAACUUCUGCUUGGUUGUAAACCAAACCACUGGUUCUUAAACUUUCAUUGGAUCAUUUUAUUGAAGAAUUAAAUAGUGUGGUUCUGGCCUAAUGUCUGGAAAGCCUUGCAGAGGAGUGGAUUAGGUCUUUGUGAUAAACAGGCAGCCUUCCCUGCUCCUGUGUCUUUAUAAAAUCUAUUUAACUGGAGUAGUCCACCCUCCCUCAGGCUCUUACAGGAAUAUGUUGGAGGCUGUAGGAAGGUGGGAAACCGAGAGGGAAAGGACUGGGCCGCUGGAGACUUCACUCAUUCCCUAGCAAGAAACAAAAGCAGUAAAAGGUGGCCCGAGGACAACCUGAAGCUCACUCCUUCAGCACUUUUGGCUGGAGGUCACUUGUUGGAGCCCCACUCAGAGCUCAGCACACCACCCCACCAGCAGCCUCCUCCUCCCAGCUGAGGCUGCAUUUCAUCCCUUCCCCCAGCCUGCUUUCCCUGAGAUAGGGGAGUGUUUCCCAGGGCCCAUGUGACUUCCACUGGCAAGUGACGAUUACCAAUGGUUUACUAGUCAGUGAAACUACCAAAGGCUUUUGUGCUGUAGUAAUCCUUUUCCUGUUUAAAACUCUGGGGAUUUUCUAAUGUUGCCAAUAGUUUUUCAAGUCAGCAAUUACUGUGUGGAUUAUGUAAUGGCUCGGUAUUAAAAAUAGAAAAGACUGGAGUUUGCAUCUAUUUUAACCAAAUCUUGAAAACAGAGCAAAGGGAGGGGAAGGGUGGAGAGGGAGAGACCAGAGGAGGAGGGAGAAAAAGAGAUCAUGUGACUGGAUAAGACAGCUCACAAUUCACUGUGCCUUUCUCCCACCAUUUGUGGCCCAAGGACCUGUACUCCCUCCUCAGCCUCCUCUAGGGAGGGGUCCUUGAUGAGAAUUCUGAGGACACAAGACCCCUUGUGGAUAUUUCUUAGCUCAGCCUUGGUGUGCUUACCUGCUUCUGACAAGCAAAGUGGCCAAGUAGGGGAGGGAGUUGAAUCUGAUGUCCUCCACUAAGUCCAG